Molecule: ribosomal RNA, 460 nt
Filed under: uncultured bacterium
Lineage: Bacteria
Description: partial 16S ribosomal RNA
Rfam family: Bacterial small subunit ribosomal RNA
Source: RNAcentral
CCUACGGGUGGCAGCAGUGAGGAAUAUUGGUCAAUGGCCGUAAGGCUGAACCAGCCAAGUAGCGUGAGGGAAGACUGCCCUAUGGGUUGUAAACCUCUUUUAUGCGGGGAUAAAGGUGUCCACGUGUGGAUGUUUGCAGGUACCGCAUGAAUAAGGACCGGCUAAUUCCGUGCCAGCAGCCGCGGUAAUACGGAAGGUCCGGGCGUUAUCCGGAUUUAUUGGGUUUAAAGGGAGCGUAGGCCGGUCUUUAAGCGUGCCGUGAAAUUUUGUGGCUCAACCAUGGGAGUGCGGCGCGAACUGGGGACGUUGAGUGAGCGAAAGGCAGGCGGAAUGCGUGGUGGAGCGGUGAAAUGCUUGGAUAUCACGAAGAACCCCGAUUGCGAAGGCAGGAGGCCGCAGCGUUACUGACGCUGAAGCACGAAAGCGGGGGUAUCGAACAGGAUUAGAGACCCUGGUAGUC